RNAcentral lists this long non-coding RNA (383 nucleotides) under Brassica napus (rape). RNAcentral's name for it is "long non-coding RNA (BNAP_LNC009282)". The record is from RNAcentral. Lineage: Eukaryota; Viridiplantae; Streptophyta; Magnoliopsida; Brassicales; Brassicaceae.
UCUGAGCUAGCGACGUAUAGAGUGCGGGGGCACAGAGACAUCUGAGCUAGCGACGCAUAUGUGAUGAGUACGGGGGCCCAGAGACGUCUGAGCUAGCGACGUAUAUAUUGUGUGGUGCGGGGUGCAGAGACGUUUGCAUAUCAACGCAUAUUGGUGGAGUGCGGGGGUCCAGAGAUGUCUGGACUAGGGACGCAUAUUAUAUUAUCAUAUAUCCUUAUGAGGAGAAUGCGGGGUAUGUGGACUAGCUAUGUACCAUCAGCGCCUUGUUUGUUUUGUGUGAUGCUCUAGGCAUCUUGUUUGUUCAUGCUAGAGCUAUGCCUACAUAGUCGUAGUGCUAUGUACUGAGUCAGUGGUUUGCGGUUUAGCAUCCCAUACCUCACUGG